AAUCACUUGUCUUUUAAAUGAAGACCCGUAUGAAUGGCAAAACGAGGGCUUAACUGUCUCCUCCUCCCAGUCAAUGAAAUUGAUCUCCCCGUGCAGAAGCGGGGAUAAUUACAUAAGACGAGAAGACCCUAUGGAGCUUUAGACACAUCGACAGAUCAUGUAAAUCCCCUUAAUAAAAAGACAAANCCAAAUGAACCCUGCCGUAAUGUCUUUGGUUGGGGCGACCCCGGGAAAAUAAAAAACCCCCGAACGGAAUGAAGAAAUUUAAACUUCAUAAACAAGAGCCACAGCUCACAAAAUCAGAACCUCUGACCUAAAGAUCCGAUAUAAUCGAUCAACGGACCGAGUUACCCUAGGGAUNNCAGCGCAAUCCUCUUUAAGANCCCC
Molecule: ribosomal RNA, 387 nt
Filed under: Poecilia reticulata (guppy)
Lineage: Eukaryota; Metazoa; Chordata; Actinopteri; Cyprinodontiformes; Poeciliidae
Description: partial 16S ribosomal RNA
Rfam family: Bacterial large subunit ribosomal RNA
Source: RNAcentral